UACGAAGGGGGCUAGCGUUGUUCGGAAUUACUGGGCGUAAAGCGCGCGCAGGCGGCUAUCCAAGUCAGUGGUGAAAGCCCGGAGCUUAACUCCGGAACUGCCAUUGAAACUGUUUAGCUGGAGUAUGAGAGAGGUGAGUGGAAUUCCCAGUGUAGAGGUGAAAUUCGUAGAUAUUCGGAAGAACACCAGUGGCGAAGGCGACUUACUGGACACAUAUUGACGCUGAGGUGCGAAAGCGUGGGGAGCAAACAGG
This 253-nucleotide ribosomal RNA is filed under the name uncultured bacterium. RNAcentral's name for it is "partial 16S ribosomal RNA". It matches the Rfam family "Bacterial small subunit ribosomal RNA", at positions 524 to 776 of the family's 1533-position model. The record is from RNAcentral.